RNAcentral lists this transfer RNA (77 nucleotides) under Bacillota bacterium. RNAcentral describes it as "tRNA-Arg". It matches the Rfam family "tRNA". Rfam says of the family: Transfer RNA (tRNA) molecules are approximately 80 nucleotides in length. Their secondary structure includes four short double-helical elements and three loops (D, anti-codon, and T loops). Further hydrogen bonds mediate the characteristic L-shaped molecular structure. tRNAs have two regions of fundamental functional importance: the anti-codon, which is responsible for specific mRNA codon recognition, and the 3' end, to which the tRNAs corresponding amino acid is attached (by aminoacyl-tRNA synthetases). tRNAs cope with the degeneracy of the genetic code in two manners: having more than one tRNA (with a specific anti-codon) for a particular amino acid; and 'wobble' base-pairing, i.e. permitting non-standard base-pairing at the 3rd anti-codon position. The record is from RNAcentral. Lineage: Bacteria; Bacillati; Bacillota.
GUCCUCGUAGCUCAGCUGGAUAGAGCAUACGCCUUCUAAGCGUACGGUCGCAGGUUCGAAUCCUGCCGGGGACACCA